GAUGAACGCUGGCGGCGUGCCUAAUACAUGCAAGUCGAGCGAACGGACGAGAAGCUUGCUUCUCUGAUGUUAGCGGCGGACGGGUGAGUAACACGUGGAUAACCUACCUAUAAGACUGGGAUAACUUCGGGAAACCGGAGCUAAUACCGGAUAAUAUUUUGAACCGCAUGGUUCAAAAGUGAAAGACGGUCUUGCUUUCACUUAUAGAUGGAUCCGCGCUGCAUUAGCUAGUUGGUUAGGUAACGGCUUACCAAGGCAACGAUGCAUAGCCGACCUGAGAGGGUGAUCGGCCACACUGGGACUGAGACACGGUCCAGACUCCUACGGGAGGCAGCAGUAGGGAAUCUUCCGCAAUGGGCGAAAGCCUGACGGAGCAACGCCGCGUGAGUGAUGAAGGUCUUCGGAUCGUAAAACUCUGUUAUUAGGGAAGAACAUAUGUGUAAGUAACUGUGAACAUCUUGACGGUACCUAAUCAGAAAGCCACGGCUAACUACGUG
RNAcentral lists this ribosomal RNA (497 nucleotides) under uncultured bacterium. Its description in RNAcentral is "partial 16S ribosomal RNA". It matches the Rfam family "Bacterial small subunit ribosomal RNA", at positions 28 to 507 of the family's 1533-position model. The record is from RNAcentral.